This 245-nucleotide ribosomal RNA is filed under the name uncultured bacterium. RNAcentral describes it as "partial 16S ribosomal RNA". It matches the Rfam family "Bacterial small subunit ribosomal RNA", at positions 88 to 334 of the family's 1533-position model. The record is from RNAcentral.
AUGGCGACCGGCGCACGGGUGAGUAACACGUAUCCAACCUGCCGAUAACUCGGGGAUAGCCUUUCGAAAGAAAGAUUAAUACCCGAUGGCAUGAUUAGACCGCAUGGUCUUAUUAUUAAAGAAUUUCGGUUAUCGAUGGGGAUGCGUUCCAUUAGGCAGUUGGUGAGGUAACGGCUCACCAAACCUUCGAUGGAUAGGGGUUCUGAGAGGAAGGUCCCCCACAUUGGAACUGAGACACGGUCCAA